Non-coding RNA from Pogona vitticeps (central bearded dragon), 864 nucleotides. Lineage: Eukaryota; Metazoa; Chordata; Lepidosauria; Squamata; Agamidae. The record is from RefSeq and is a predicted model, not a curated record.
CACUUACUAGAAGACUCUGGAAGCCCAUGUCCAACACACCGAACAAUACAGCUUGAGUCCUGUGUUGAGUUACAAAACAAGAAACUGCCGAAUUCUGCACAAUUCACUGCCCUUUCAGAAAGCAGAAUCCAUUCCUUAGGCUUCAUGGUAUGUGUGUGUUCUGUACUGUCAAGUCAGAACCAACUUAUAGCGACCCUAAUAGGGCUUUCAAGAAAGAAGCAGAAGAAGAAACCUUAUAUUCUCCCUUGGUUCCAGCUGAAUCCCUGGGUCAAAGCUGGCCAAGACGCAGCACCAGGUGGCACAACACACCCAUUCCACACUGGCACAACUUGCCUGCACAGAAGCUGUGGCAGCUGCCCCAGAGAGCUGGUCUUCUGUCGGCUCAGUGCUGAGCUGGCAAUUUUAAUGAAAACGGCUUCCCUGGGACAGUAGGUUCACCAUCAAAGGGUGACACUCCCUGGGAAGCCCUUAGGGAAGUUCUGCACGGGUACCACUUUGUGCAAUGAACUUCUUGCAUAGACUUUGCUGUGCCUCGACUUGUGAUUUCACAGAGUUAGAGAUCCCACAGUGGACAAGACAUCGCAUACUCUGUCUAAUCUGGCUGUAUGAUGCCAUCAUUCAAGGUAACUGCAGCAGUGGGUAAGCAAAGAUGUUGGCACAGAGUGCUGAAAGUGUUUUCCUUCUAGCUCUUGUUCCUUUUCUGAUUGAGGCUGAAUGUCAUCUGGACCGGAGUGACUUCAGAUGUAGCAGCAUCUGUCAUAAUGUAUAAUGAUCUCCAACCACAUUGAUCGCCAACAUUAUUCAGCUGUGAAGUUCUCUUUUUUUUCUGCAUUUCUUUCCCCAUUUUUUUUAAAUCAAUGAUCA